UGGGGAAUAUUGGGCAAUGGGGCGAAAGCCUGGCCCAGCAACGCCGCGUGAAGGAAGAAGGUCUUCGGAUUGUAAACUUCUUUUAUCAGGGACGAAGGAAGUGACGGUACCUGAUGAAUAAGCCACGGCUAACUACGUGCCAGCAGCCGCGGUAAUACGUAGGUGGCGAGCGUUAUCCGGAUUUACUGGGUGUAAAGGGCGCGUAGGCGGGGAUACAAGUCAGGUGUGAAAUCUAUGGGCUUAACCCAUAAACUGCACUUGAAACUGUAUCUCUUGAGUGUCGGAGAGGUAGACGGAAUUCCUAGUGUAGCGGUGAAAUGCGUAGAUAUU
This 330-nucleotide ribosomal RNA is filed under the name uncultured Oscillospiraceae bacterium. RNAcentral describes it as "bacterial SSU rRNA". It matches the Rfam family "Bacterial small subunit ribosomal RNA", at positions 355 to 698 of the family's 1533-position model. The record is from RNAcentral. Lineage: Bacteria; Bacillati; Bacillota; Clostridia; Eubacteriales; Oscillospiraceae.